UUCGCAAUGCCCGAAAGGGUGACGAAGCGACGCCGCGUGCGGGAGGAAGGCCUUCGGGUUGUAAACCGCUGUCGGGAGUUAAGAUAUGCAAGGAUGUUAAUAGCGUUCUUGCUUGACUAAGGCUCCGGAGGAAGCCACGGCUAACUCUGUGCCAGCAGCCGCGGUAAUACAGAGGCGGCAAGCGUUGUUCGGAAUUAUUGGGCGUAAAGAGCACGUAGGCGGCUGUGUAAGUCGGUUGUGAAAGCCUUCCGCUCAACGGAAGAACGGCAUCCGAUACUGCAUGGCUUGAGUGUGGGAGGGGAGAGUGGAACUUCUGGUGGAGCGGUGAAGUGCGUGGAUAUCAGAAGGAACACCGGCGGCGAAGGCGACUCUCUGGUCCAUAACUGACGCUGAGUGUGCGAAAGCUAGGGGAGCAAACGGGAUUAGAUACCCCGGUAGUCCUAGCCGUAAACGAUGGGCACUAAGUAGAGGGGUUUU
Molecule: ribosomal RNA, 477 nt
Filed under: uncultured anaerobic ammonium-oxidizing bacterium
Lineage: Bacteria
Description: bacterial SSU rRNA
Rfam family: Bacterial small subunit ribosomal RNA
Source: RNAcentral